Long non-coding RNA from Chlorocebus sabaeus (green monkey), 940 nucleotides. RefSeq lists it as uncharacterized. NCBI's taxonomy places the organism in Eukaryota, Metazoa, Chordata, Mammalia, Primates, Cercopithecidae. The record is from RefSeq and is a predicted model, not a curated record.
AAAGAAAUUGGAAAUUUUCAUAUUUUGUGAUUGCAGUUCCAUAACUGGUAGUGUUUAAAAAGUGAGUCCUAGAAUGGACUGUAAGAAAAGUUAACAUUUUUUAAAAAGGUAAAGGCUUUUGAAAGUAACAUGUGGUUUACAUAGUUCUUUAAUUUUUUUUUCAUUUGUUUCAGAGCUCCCUCUGUGAAAGAAAUUUCUUUCUAUUUAAUAAAACUAAUGCUUGUAAUAGCUGUUAAAUUUUUUAUAAGCUUGGCAAUUCUAGCUUAAGAAGACUCAACUGCCAACAUAUCCUUGUCCACUCCAGUGCUUUCAAUUCAGCCACCCCAGAAUAAGCAGUGUAGGUGACUUGAGCAUCCUUACUGUGCUCCUUUAUAUAAGAACAAGCAAUUGUGAACACCUAUUUUUCUUAGCCAUGUUUGGUCUUAUUAUAAUGAGUAGUCACACUGCACAUUUUUUUUAUGUCUGGCCAAUGACAGCUUAAGUGUCACCUCUCUUUUCCUAGAGCACCCCGCACCUGGACAAGCAGAUGAGAAAGCCUGAUGGUGGGUUCCUUAUAGAGCAAGCAGGAGAUUCCAAACACACAGGGCCCUGCCCCAUUGCUCUGACCUCACCUGAUAACCACAAUGAACACCCAGGUUGAACUUUUCCCCUUGCUGCCUCCAGUCAUUUCACACCUGCUGGAGAGGCCUGCUCUGCUCUCCCUGAGCCCUCAAUCAUGCCGGUGACACAGAAGUUCUUUCCCAUAAGGAGCUCCUGCCAGUUACUCGGGUUGUUAGGAUGGACACACACUGGCCAUGUUCUGAAGUGGCUUACAUGCUGGGGCCUCUGCUCUGCCAAAGGGACAGACUUCUCUGUCAUCACUCCCCAGACGCUGGAAAAAAGCCACAGCCACGCCAGGAGUGGAGCCAGGGUGUGCAGGACACGGCAGCAGCAGCCACAU